This is a long non-coding RNA of Leopardus geoffroyi (Geoffroy's cat), 1272 nucleotides long. RefSeq lists it as uncharacterized. The transcript is spliced from 3 exons. Lineage: Eukaryota; Metazoa; Chordata; Mammalia; Carnivora; Felidae. The record is from RefSeq and is a predicted model, not a curated record.
UGAAUGAAUGGCCUGGGCAUGUGCUCUGGGCACACUGCGGGCAGAGAGGAAAAAGAAAGGGGAGCAUUCUCACAGGGAGAGAGGAGGUCUCCCUCCCAGGGACAGACCAGGUCGAGGGGGAGCUGCAGGCCCUGACAGGGUCUCUGGGAAGGGCAGGCCAGAGGGAGACAGGUUUAGGAAGAAUGCACUUCCUUGCUUCCCGAGUCUCGAACCCACUUCGGCCAUGCAACAGGGCCAGCCCGGCUCCCACCAACCAUCCCAGCUGCUUCCAGAGGCUUCAGACUAGAGGCCUGAAAAGCUCUAGGGCAAAACCCUCACCCUCCCAUCAUGGCCAGGGUGGGGCACCAGGCAAACAUCACUCUCCUAGCGGGUGCACCUGCUUCUUUAUCACUCCUAGAAUGGAUUUUUCCAAGUACGAAAGCUCCCUAAUUUGCCCAGCCCCUGGGCUCGCUGGCUUUCAGGAAAACAGAUAAUUAACCCUAAUUCACUGACUUGCUGGGCCGGAACGGCAGCCAGGGAGGGCCCUGAUGGGAAAUACGGGCCCCUGCCGGGGCAGCCAGCCUCAGAUAAGGAGAGAUGGGUAUCAGGACUGGAGCUGGGCAAGAGGCUUUUUUUUUUUUUUUUCCUGGGAAGAUACGGGUAAGAGCUACUUCGUGAUUGACACUUCAGAUGGCAUCGAAAUGGCCUUUUGCUUGCAUUUGGGUUUUUUCCCUCAAAGUACCAGGUCAUGGCCAUGCCCCCUGGCCUUGCAUCAUCCCCAUGCUGUCCUGCCCAGAACAUUCUUUCCUCUCUGCUCUACACAAGGAAGCCCUGCUGUAAAACCCAGGAAGCCUGCCCUAAUGGGACUCCCACCCAGGGUCCUGCUCGGACCCGAUCAACCUCCCCGUGCUGCUUCUGAAACUUUCGGGGGGGUGGUCAUAUCCGCUGCAGGCACGUGCAGAGGGAGCAUGCUGAGCGAGGACUCUGGAGAAAACUGACCACAUUAGAAUCCCAGCUCCACAUCGAGCUACGGACAAGAACAUACUUCUCACUGAGCCUCAGUUUUCCCAUCUGUGUAAUGGGGGUGACACAGCACCUCCCUCAAGGUAAGGAUCAGAAGCACAUGCGUGCCCCAGCUCAAACGAACGUUCGCUGCAGUAUCGUGUCAGCCCAGGCAAGCCUGCCCGCCUGCGGCAGGAAGACCCGUCCUGGGCCGCGCUGGGGGGCCAACCCACCCACAGGAGGGGCUGUCAGGGACUGGACGAGGCGGCCCCGUCACAGCCCCUUCCUCUC